CUUUCUGCAGGGGUCUAUGCCUUUGGUUUCCUCUUCAUGCUGCCCCAGCUCUUUGUGAACUACAAGUUGAAGUCAGUGGCACAUCUGCCCUGGAAGGCCUUCACCUACAAGGCUUUCAACACCUUCAUUGAUGACGUCUUUGCCUUCAUCAUCACCAUGCCCACGUCUCACCGGCUGGCCUGCUUCCGGGACGACGUGGUGUUUCUGGUCUACCUGUACCAGCGGUGGCUUUAUCCUGUGGAUAAACGCAGAGUGAACGAGUUUGGGGAGUCCUACGAGGAGAAGGCCACGCGGGCGCCCCACACGGACUGAAGGCCGCCCGGGCUGCCGCCAGCCAAGUGCAACUUGAAUUGUCAAUGAGUAUUUUUGGAAGCAUUUGGAG
RNAcentral lists this small RNA (382 nucleotides) under Pan troglodytes (chimpanzee). Its description in RNAcentral is "retained intron". Lineage: Eukaryota; Metazoa; Chordata; Mammalia; Primates; Hominidae. The record is from RNAcentral.